UGUGGAAUUUUGGACAAUGGGCGAAAGCCUGAUCCAGCAAUGCCGCGUGUGUGAAGAAGGCCUUCGGGUUGUAAAGCACUUUUGUCCGGAAAGAAAUCCUUGGCUCUAAUACAGUCGGGGGAUGACGGUACCGGAAGAAUAAGCACCGGCUAACUACGUGCCAGCAGCCGCGGUAAUACGUAGGGUGCAAGCGUUAAUCGGAAUUACUGGGCGUAAAGCGUGCGCAGGCGGUUUGCUAAGACCGAUGUGAAAUCCCCGGGCUCAACCUGGGAACUGCAUUGGUGACUGGCAGGCUAGAGUAUGGCAGAGGGGGGUAGAAUUCCACGUGUAGCAGUGAAAUGCGUAGAGAUGUGGAGGAAUACCGAUGGCGAAGGCAGCCCCCUGGGCCAAUACUGACACUCAUGCACGAAAGCGUGGGGAGCAAACAGGAUUAGAUACCCUGGUAGUCCACGCCCUAAAACGAUGUCAACUAGUUGUUGGGGAUUCAUUUCCUUAGUAACGUAGCUAACGCGUGAAGUUGACCGCCU
RNAcentral lists this ribosomal RNA (527 nucleotides) under uncultured bacterium. Its description in RNAcentral is "partial 16S ribosomal RNA". It matches the Rfam family "Bacterial small subunit ribosomal RNA", at positions 355 to 874 of the family's 1533-position model. The record is from RNAcentral.